Molecule: non-coding RNA, 237 nt
Organism: Vicia faba (fava bean)
Lineage: Eukaryota; Viridiplantae; Streptophyta; Magnoliopsida; Fabales; Fabaceae
Source: the annotation of a GenBank genome assembly
AUGAAAUUGAAAAUCUUACAACUUCCCAUCCUUAUUCAUAAUAAAUCACAGACUGUUGAUUUCUCUGGUGCAUUUACGUUUUUAGCAAAAACAGGUCAUUCCAUCUCUACAAUAGCAUGUCUCAUCUCCCACUGGUCAACGCUGAUAGUAUUCGGCAAACUGGCUUUCAAGGUUAUGGAAGCUCUCCAAGAACACCGCCACCACAUGGCUGGGAAGAUACUUCAAACUCUUGCGUAA